This 465-nucleotide ribosomal RNA is filed under the name Vreelandella stevensii. RNAcentral describes it as "partial 16S ribosomal RNA". It matches the Rfam family "Bacterial small subunit ribosomal RNA", at positions 338 to 795 of the family's 1533-position model. The record is from RNAcentral. Lineage: Bacteria; Pseudomonadati; Pseudomonadota; Gammaproteobacteria; Oceanospirillales; Halomonadaceae.
CCUACGGGUGGCUGCAGUGGGGAAUAUUGGACAAUGGGCGAAAGCCUGAUCCAGCCAUGCCGCGUGUGUGAAGAAGGCCUUCGGGUUAUAAAGCACUUUCAGUGGGGAAGAAAGCCUUGGGGCUAAUACCCUCGAGGAAGGACAUCACCCGCAGAAGAAGCACCGGCUAACUCCGUGCCAGCAGCCGCGGUAAUACGGAGGGUGCGAGCGUUAAUCGGAAUUACUGGGCGUAAAGCGCGCGUAGGCGGUCUGAUAAGCCGGUUGUGAAAGCCCCGGGCUCAACCUGGGAACGGCAUCCGGAACUGUCAGGCUAGAGUGCAGGAGAGGAAGGUAGAAUUCCCGGUGUAGCGGUGAAAUGCGUAGAGAUCGGGAGGAAUACCAGUGGCGAAGGCGGCCUUCUGGACUGACACUGACGCUGAGGUGCGAAAGCGUGGGUAGCAAACAGGAUUAGAUACCCCUGUAGUC